GACGAACGCUGGCGGCGUGCUUAACACAUGCAAGUCGAACGGAAAGGCCCUGCUUUUGUGGGGUGCUCGAGUGGCGAACGGGUGAGUAACACGUGAGUAACCUGCCCUUGACUUUGGGAUAACUUCAGGAAACUGGGGCUAAUACCGGAUAGGAGCUCCUGCUGCAUGGUGGGGGUUGGAAAGUUUCGGCGGUUGGGGAUGGACUCGCGGCUUAUCAGCUUGUUGGUGGGGUAGUGGCUUACCAAGGCUUUGACGGGUAGCCGGCCUGAGAGGGUGACCGGCCACAUUGGGACUGAGAUACGGCCCAGACUCCUACGGGAGGCAGCAGUGGGGAGUAUUGCACAAUGGGCGGAAGCCUGAUGCAGCAACGCCGCGUGCGGGAUGACGGCCUUCGGGUUGUAAACCGCUUUCGCCUGUGACGAAGCGUGAGUGACGGUACUGGGUAAAGAAGCACCGGCUAACUACGUG
This 468-nucleotide ribosomal RNA is filed under the name uncultured bacterium. RNAcentral's name for it is "partial 16S ribosomal RNA". It matches the Rfam family "Bacterial small subunit ribosomal RNA", at positions 28 to 507 of the family's 1533-position model. The record is from RNAcentral.